This 27-nucleotide non-coding RNA is filed under the name Homo sapiens (human). Lineage: Eukaryota; Metazoa; Chordata; Mammalia; Primates; Hominidae. The record is from RNAcentral.
UGGACCAGCCAGCAGGUGGGCCAGUGG